AAGUGGAGGAAGGGUUGCGGUUUUAAUAAUCUUCCAGACAAUCCACGUCCGAUAAUUUCGGCGGCAAGUGCACUAUGUAAUCGAACACGUUGGUGUUGUGGGUGUUAUUACAGAAUAACUUCGCCUACACUUCGUCUGAUUAGAUAUCCGUAAAUUAAUUAUACGGAGUCCGGGUACCGACUAGAUGAUAAGGAUUUGUGAUGUAUUGCUCGAGUUUCCCCUCGUUAUAUAUUAUUGCAAUUACGCUCAUAGCACAUCUAAUUUCGCUCCGUGUUUGCUACGGGUUAAAGGUAUCCACAUUUUGUGCCUUUGGCUCGCUUCUGUAAAACUACCCACACUUGUAAAAACCCGAACCGAUAAAACAACCCUAGUUUUAGCAUAGUGAGCGCCAGUUGGUUGGGUCGAAGAACCAUGUGCUUAGGGGCAGCUGUCAUCGGCCAGAUAAAGUCCACGAGACGCCACUGCCAUCCCCCAAUAACGGUUAAUUCACCAGAUUUUAGUGAAAAACUGUAUUAAAGGCGAAUAAUAAAAUUUCUUUCUUUGCUUCAAGUUGAUAGAAAGUUUUUCACGCUUGAGAUGCUGAAAUUGAAUUUUUCAACUCGAAAAUAACGGUGAAAUAGCAUCGGUGUUAUUAUUUUCUUACAAGCGGACGCAAACAUGUUUACUCAUCUCCGACGCUAAUUAUAUUGUGUGUAAAAUUGCGAGAAACUAAUUCAGUUCCAUGUCUCAACAACCGCUAAAUCUAUCCUUCAGCAGUGAAUAGACGUCAACUAACACACUCGCUUUCGUUGCUUCAGGAGAUACCAAUGAGAAUAUUACGCGUAAAACUGUUAAAUGCAGCAACGUAACCGACUUUCCAAAUAGAGCAUCUCGAAAUUUAGUUUUCCGAAAAAACUAUUUAGGUCACUUUUUGACGACCCGAUAAAUUACAAACAUCAAGAUUACAUGGCCUUGACAUUUACAUGGAAUAGAGCAAAACCGAAACGCAGUAGAGAAAUUGGCUAAUUAUUUUUUCAAAUGCAUUUAUUUCAAAUGUAGUUUUUUAUUAAUUUGAAAAAGAUAUCGUUCCAGUUAAACCAGCAUUAUUUUUGAUUGUAUAUGACACGCAAACUUACUUUAAUAAUAGAAAAUGAAAUGUAAUAGUAACACUUGCUGUGUUUGAGUAAGCAGCAGUUUGUGGGCUCAAAACUAGGUAAAGCCUUAAUACAAUGUGUUCAAAAAUGGUUGUUCAUC
Long non-coding RNA from Tribolium castaneum (red flour beetle), 1233 nucleotides. RefSeq lists it as uncharacterized. The record is from RefSeq and is a predicted model, not a curated record. The transcript is spliced from 3 exons. Lineage: Eukaryota; Metazoa; Arthropoda; Insecta; Coleoptera; Tenebrionidae.